UGCAGUCGAGCGGAUGAGAGGAGCUUGCUCCUUGAUUUAGCGGCGGACGGGUGAGUAAUGCCUAGGAAUCUGCCCGGUAGUGGGGGAUAACGUUCCGAAAGGAACGCUAAUACCGCAUACGUCCUACGGGAGAAAGCAGGGGACCUUCGGGCCUUGCGCUAUCGGAUGAGCCUAGGUCGGAUUAGCUAGUUGGUGAGGUAAAGGCUCACCAAGGCGACGAUCCGUAACUGGUCUGAGAGGAUGAUCAGUCACACUGGAACUGAGACACGGUCCAGACUCCUACGGGAGGCAGCAGUGGGGAAUAUUGGACAAUGGGCGAAAGCCUGAUCCAGCCAUGCCGCGUGUGUGAAGAAGGUCUUCGGAUUGUAAAGCACUUUAAGUUGGGAGGAAGGGCAGUAAGUUAAUACCUUGCUGUUUUGACGUUACCGACAGAAUAAGCACCGGCUAACUUCGUGCCAGCAGCCGCGGUAAUACGAAGGGUGCAAGCGUUAAUCGGAAUUACUGGGCGUAAAGCGCGCGUAGGUGGUUCGUUAAGUUGGAUGUGAAAGCCCCGGGCUCAACCUGGGAACUGCAUCCAAAACUGGCGAGCUAGAGUACGGUAGAGGGUGGUGGAAUUUCCUGUGUAGCGGUGAAAUGCGUAGAUAUAGGAAGGAACACCAGUGGCGAAGGCGACCACCUGGACUGAUACUGACACUGAGGUGCGAAAGCGUGGGGAGCAAACAGGAUUAGAUACCCUGGUAGUCCACGCCGUAAACGAUGUCAACUAGCCGUUGGAAUCCUUGAGAUUUUAGUGGCGCAGCUAACGCAUUAAGUUGACCGCCUGGGGAGUACGGCCGCAAGGUUAAAACUCAAAUGAAUUGACGGGGGCCCGCACAAGCGGUGGAGCAUGUG
This 891-nucleotide ribosomal RNA is filed under the name Pseudomonas sp. RNAcentral's name for it is "bacterial SSU rRNA". It matches the Rfam family "Bacterial small subunit ribosomal RNA", at positions 56 to 943 of the family's 1533-position model. Lineage: Bacteria; Pseudomonadati; Pseudomonadota; Gammaproteobacteria; Pseudomonadales; Pseudomonadaceae. The record is from RNAcentral.